CAGAAAAGCUGAACCUGGGCCUAAAUAACAACUUGACAAUUACAGCACACAACAUCGACUACUCCAUCAGCCGGUUGUCACGAGAUGGCACAACAGCAGAAGUUCAAAGACCACUGGAGGACUUAUCUCCAUGUUCUUGCUAUAGCUCUCUUCAAAGGGAGUGAUAGAUGAGGCA
Electrophorus electricus (electric eel) is the source of this 175-nucleotide long non-coding RNA. RefSeq lists it as uncharacterized. The record is from RefSeq and is a predicted model, not a curated record. NCBI's taxonomy places the organism in Eukaryota, Metazoa, Chordata, Actinopteri, Gymnotiformes, Gymnotidae.